AACUUUUGACAACGGAUCUCUUGGCUCUCCCAUCGAUGAAGAACGCGGCGAAAUGCGAUAAGUAAUGUGAAUUGCAGAAUUCAGUGAAUCAUCGAAUCUCUGAACGCACCUUGCGCCCUUUGGUAUUCCGAAGGGCAUGCCUGUUUGAGUGUCAUUAAAUUAUCAACCCAAAAGCUUUGUUAUGAGGCUUCUGUGGCUUGGAUGUGGGGGUGUUGCUGGCUUCCUUCAGUGGAUGGUCUGCUCCCCUUAAAUGCAUUAGCGGGAUCUCUUGUGGACCGUCACUUGGUGUGAUAAUUAUCUAUGCCACGUUGACUUUGAAGCAAAAUUAUGGGAACCUGCUCAUAACCGUCUGCUCGUCGGACAACUUUUAUGACAUUUUGACCUCAAAUCAGGUAGGACUACCCGCUGAAUUUAAGCAUAUCAAUAAGCGGAGGCU
This 436-nucleotide unclassified non-coding RNA is filed under the name uncultured Mycena. RNAcentral describes it as "sequence contains ITS2". The stretch from base 1 to 154 matches the Rfam family "5.8S ribosomal RNA". Lineage: Eukaryota; Fungi; Basidiomycota; Agaricomycetes; Agaricales; Tricholomataceae. The record is from RNAcentral.